RNAcentral lists this ribosomal RNA (1000 nucleotides) under Halalkalibacterium halodurans. Its description in RNAcentral is "bacterial SSU rRNA". It matches the Rfam family "Bacterial small subunit ribosomal RNA", at positions 48 to 1030 of the family's 1533-position model. The record is from RNAcentral. Lineage: Bacteria; Bacillati; Bacillota; Bacilli; Caryophanales; Bacillaceae.
CUAAUACAUGCAGUCGAGCGGACCGAAGGGAGCUUGCUCCUGGAGGUUAGCGGCGAACGGGUGAGUAACACGUGGGCAACCUGCCUGUAAGACUGGGAUAACAUCGAGAAAUCGGUGCUAAUACCGGAUAAUAAAAAGAACUGCAUGGUUCUUUUUUGAAAGAUGGUUUCGGCUAUCACUUACAGAUGGGCCCGCGGCGCAUUAGCUAGUUGGUGAGGUAACGGCUCACCAAGGCGACGAUGCGUAGCCGACCUGAGAGGGUGAUCGGCCACACUGGGACUGAGACACGGCCCAGACUCCUACGGGAGGCAGCAGUAGGGAAUCUUCCGCAAUGGACGAAAGUCUGACGGAGCAACGCCGCGUGAGUGAUGAAGGUUUUCGGAUCGUAAAACUCUGUUGUUAGGGAAGAACAAGUGCCGUUCGAAAGGGCGGCACCUUGACGGUACCUAACGAGAAAGCCACGGCUAACUACGUGCCAGCAGCCGCGGUAAUACGUAGGUGGCAAGCGUUGUCCGGAAUUAUUGGGCGUAAAGCGCGCGCAGGCGGUCUCUUAAGUCUGAUGUGAAAGCCCCCGGCUCAACCGGGGAGGGUCAUUGGAAACUGGGAGACUUGAGUACAGAAGAGGAGAGUGGAAUUCCACGUGUAGCGGUGAAAUGCGUAGAGAUGUGGAGGAACACCAGUGGCGAAGGCGACUCUCUGGUCUGUAACUGACGCUGAGGCGCGAAAGCGUGGGGAGCAAACAGGAUUAGAUACCCUGGUAGUCCACGCCGUAAACGAUGAGUGCUAGGUGUUAGGGGUUUCGAUGCCCUUAGUGCCGAAGUUAACACAUUAAGCACUCCGCCUGGGGAGUACGACCGCAAGGUUGAAACUCAAAGGAAUUGACGGGGGCCCGCACAAGCAGUGGAGCAUGUGGUUUAAUUCGAAGCAACGCGAGAACCUUACCAGGUCUUGACAUCCUUUGACCACCCUAGAGAUAGGGCUUUCCCCUUCGGGGGACAAA